This 499-nucleotide ribosomal RNA is filed under the name Salmonella enterica subsp. enterica serovar Infantis. RNAcentral describes it as "bacterial LSU rRNA". It matches the Rfam family "Bacterial large subunit ribosomal RNA", at positions 1399 to 1882 of the family's 2925-position model. Lineage: Bacteria; Pseudomonadati; Pseudomonadota; Gammaproteobacteria; Enterobacterales; Enterobacteriaceae. The record is from RNAcentral.
AGGCCGAAAGGCGUAGUCGAUGGGAAACGGGUUAAUAUUCCCGUACUUGGUGUUACUGCGAAGGGGGGACGGAGAAGGCUAUGUUGGCCGGGCGACGGUUGUCCCGGUUUAAGCGUGUAGGCUGGUUUUCCAGGCAAAUCCGGAAAAUCAAGGCUGAGGCGUGAUGACGAGGCACUACGGUGCUGAAGCAACAAAUGCCCUGCUUCCAGGAAAAGCCUCUAAGCAUCAGGUAACAUCAAAUCGUACCCCAAACCGACACAGGUGGUCAGGUAGAGAAUACCAAGGCGCUUGAGAGAACUCGGGUGAAGGAACUAGGCAAAAUGGUGCCGUAACUUCGGGAGAAGGCACGCUGACACGUAGGUGAAGUGAUUUACUCACGGAGCUGAAGUCAGUCGAAGAUACCAGCUGGCUGCAACUGUUUAUUAAAAACACAAGCACUGUGCAAACACGAAAGUGGACGUAUACGGUGUGACGCCUGCCCGGUGCCGGAAGGUUAAUU